Macrosteles quadrilineatus (aster leafhopper) is the source of this 989-nucleotide long non-coding RNA. RefSeq lists it as uncharacterized. Lineage: Eukaryota; Metazoa; Arthropoda; Insecta; Hemiptera; Cicadellidae. The record is from RefSeq and is a predicted model, not a curated record. The transcript has 3 exons.
CACCAAGACACCCAGCACUGACCUUGAGGCAAGGAAAAAGUUGCGAGCAGAAAGAUUCGGCAUCACUUUGCCUAUUAAGGUCAUUAAACCUACAACGGUCUCCACCAAGACACCCAUCACUGACCUUGAGGCAAGGAAAAAGUUGCGAGCAGAAAGAUUCGGCAUCACUUUGCCUGUUAAGGUCAUUAAACCUACAACGGUCUCCACCAAGACACCCAUCACUGACCUUGAGGCAAGGAAAAAGUUGCGAGCAGAAAGAUUCGGCAUCACUUUGCCUGUUAAGGUGCGUUGAAAAAUGAAGUUUGACCAGACGUUUGAAGUCCCUAGAAAAUUCGAGUUUACGGACAUGAUAUCGGAUAAAGCCACAUCACUAGACAUUCCUGAUUUAAAGUAUAACUGGUGUGAACAUUACGGGGAUAUCGGAAGGUCGGAGGACCGAUUAGUGAUUAUAAGGUGGCUAAGGAGUGAUGAGAAUGACCCUCUUAAGUUUCUUCGAAUGAUCGGGGAACACGGAUUCCAUCCGGACACAAGGGUAUGCGGUGUAUACCCUAAGGAGAGAGAGGGUAAGACAAAACCUUGCCUUUUCGGACUUAUGCCCCUAAAAAGGAGAUUGUAUAUUGUGCUAACCGAAGCUUUAAUUGCAAAUUUCAUUUCAUCUUGAAAUACUUCCUUGAAAUCACAAUGAGCUUUGAACCGAGUACUUUGAUGACACGAAUGAAUAAUGUAACUAAAAAUCUAGGAUUUGAGUCAGCGGAGAACCAAGUCCAAAUCAUGACCAACAUCGAUUUUGAGAAGUGGAACUCCAACAUGAGAAAGGAGGAAACACUUGAUAUGUUAACUGACUUUGAUGAUCUCUUUGGUCUCAAAAAUGCAUUCUCUCGAUCUAAUGAUGUGUUCUCAGAGUGUCAAUUCUACUUAGCUGAUGGAUCCAUCACGCCCAAGUGGAAAGGAGAUAGAAUGGUAGAAGAUUUUGGCGUUUGGGAUCAUCA